GACGAACGCUGGCGGCGUGCCUAAUACAUGCAAGUAGAACGCUGAAGGAGGAGCUUGCUCUUCUGGAUGAGUUGCGAACGGGUGAGUAACGCGUAGGUAACCUGCCUGGUAGCGGGGGAUAACUAUUGGAAACGAUAGCUAAUACCGCAUAAGAGUAGAUGUUGCAUGACAUUUACUUAAAAGGUGCAAUUGCAUCAUUACCAGAUGGACCUGCGUUGUAUUAGCUAGUUGGUGGGGUAACGGCUUACCAAGGCGACGAUACAUAGCCGACCUGAGAGGGUGAUCGGCCACACUGGGACUGAGACACGGCCCAGACUCCUACGGGAGGCAGCAGUAGGGAAUCUUCGGCAAUGGACGGAAGUCUGACCGAGCAACGCCGCGUGAGUGAAGAAGGUUUUCGGAUCGUAAAGCUCUGUUGUAAGAGAAGAACGAGUGUGAGAGUGGAAAGUUCACACUGUGACGGUAUCUUACCAGAAAGGGACGGCUAACUACGUG
Molecule: ribosomal RNA, 495 nt
Filed under: uncultured bacterium
Lineage: Bacteria
Description: partial 16S ribosomal RNA
Rfam family: Bacterial small subunit ribosomal RNA
Source: RNAcentral